CCCCGCCAGCUAUGGACCGUGGGAUUAUUCCCCACCCAACGCAAAUCCCCGAAGAACUGCUUAGUGUGCCUCUUUAGUCAACAUGAAAAAGAAGAAAAGAACAACCACUGGAAUGAUCCUCUGAUGGCCUCAAGGCAAUGGAUUGUGGAUGUCUCUUAAGUACAAGCAGGUACUCUAGGGCUGGUCGGAGAUUGGCAGGAACUCGGCUCUAAACAUCGGGAUCAAGCUCACGGUCUAGCAGCGCUCCCAGGAGGGCGAUGGC
Molecule: long non-coding RNA, 262 nt
Organism: Tupaia belangeri chinensis (Chinese tree shrew)
Lineage: Eukaryota; Metazoa; Chordata; Mammalia; Scandentia; Tupaiidae
Exons: 3
Source: RefSeq, a predicted model, not a curated record